RNAcentral lists this ribosomal RNA (468 nucleotides) under uncultured bacterium. RNAcentral describes it as "partial 16S ribosomal RNA". It matches the Rfam family "Bacterial small subunit ribosomal RNA", at positions 28 to 507 of the family's 1533-position model. The record is from RNAcentral.
GACGAACGCUGGCGGCGUGCUUAACACAUGCCAGUCGAACGGAAGGGCCCUGCUUUUGUGGGGUGCUCGAGUGGCGAACGGGUGAGUAACACGUGAGUAACCUGCCCUUGACUUUGGGAUAACUUCAGGAAACUGGGGCUAAUACCGGAUAGGAGCUCCUGCUGCAUGGUGGGGGUUGGAAAGUUUCGGCGGUUGGGGAUGGACUCGCGGCUUAUCAGCUUGUUGGUGGGGUAGUGGCUUACCAAGGCUUUGACGGGUAGCCGGCCUGAGAGGGUGACCGGCCACAUUGGGACUGAGAUACGGCCCAGACUCCUACGGGAGGCAGCAGUGGGGAAUAUUGCACAAUGGGCGGAAGCCUGAUGCAGCAACGCCGCGUGCGGGACGACGGCCUUCGGGUUGUAAACCGCUUUCGCCUGUGACGAAGCGUGAGUGACGGUAAUGGGUAAAGAAGCACCGGCUAACUACGUG